RNAcentral lists this ribosomal RNA (424 nucleotides) under uncultured bacterium. RNAcentral describes it as "bacterial SSU rRNA". It matches the Rfam family "Bacterial small subunit ribosomal RNA", at positions 355 to 776 of the family's 1533-position model. The record is from RNAcentral.
UAAGGAAUAUUGGUCAAUGGACGCAAGUCUGAACCAGCCAUGCCGCGUGAAGGAUGAAGGCCCUCUGGGUUGUAAACUUCUUUUAUCUGGGACGAAAAACGGGCUUUCUAGCUCACUUGACGGUACCAGAGGAAUAAGCACCGGCUAACUCCGUGCCAGCAGCCGCGGUAAUACGGAGGGUGCAAGCGUUAUCCGGAUUUACUGGGUUUAAAGGGUGCGUAGGUGGGUAGGUAAGUCAGUGGUGAAAUCUUCAAGCUUAACUUGGAAACUGCCAUUGAUACUAUUUAUCUUGAAUACUUUGGAGGUAAGCGGAAUAUGUCAUGUAGCGGUGAAAUGCUUAGAUAUGACAUAGAACACCAAUUGCGAAGGCAGCUUACUACACAGUUAUUGACACUGAGGCACGAAAGCGUGGGGAUCAAACAGG